Molecule: long non-coding RNA, 1241 nt
Filed under: Homo sapiens (human)
Lineage: Eukaryota; Metazoa; Chordata; Mammalia; Primates; Hominidae
Description: HSALNT0127043
Source: RNAcentral
ACCAAACUAGAACCAAAUUUAUUUAUCAGAAUUAUUGAGUUGGAUGAAACAGAAAAUAAGCCAACAGAACACUUAAAAAUACAAGUUUAUUUUCUCCAUAUUGUUAAGUCUAAUUAUGAUUUAUUUCAAAAUCAUGAAAAGCAGAGCCUAGCAUACCAAAUGCUAGGUCAGAUUUGCUCUGGAAACUUACUUUCUAGAUUAUUUUUUGGACUUACUUAAAAAAUAAUUAAUUUCCAUUAAUAUAGCACUAAUAGCCUCCAAAUUAUACUGCAGAAUUCCUAUAUGUAACCUUUUUUAAAAAAAUAAUUCAUCACCUGAAAAAGAUAUAUUUACUACAGUUAAGUUUUUAAGUCAAGAGUUUUCUCUGGGAAUUGAUAUAUUUUAUCUAUAAUGUCUCCACUUCUCCAUACUUUCAUCAAAGUGUCACUGAAGCAGCUAAAUGCAGUCCUGUGGGGCUAGGUCUACAACAUCUGCUUAGGUUUAUUUUAGUGGACAUGGUUCCAGUCUAAGAGCAAUGGGCCACUGUUCUAGGUCCUAAUGUACAGCCAUAGAGCCAUAGAGAUGAGGUAUUUCGAUUUGAACAGAAGGAACAUUUUGACCCAGGCACUACAUUUACCACUCAUGCAGACGUGGUAGACCGCGUGUGCUAAACUGAACACCAAAGCCAUCAUUCAGACCCACACAGUGCUGGUCUCAUGGACCCAUGCAGUCACACAGAGCCUCAUGCUCAGAAGGGCACUGUGCUUGGUGUGACAACUGCUGUUGCCAUCUCGAAUUUCUUAAUAAUUUUUGAAUGAUGGGACUGCAUUUUCACUGUUCACUGGGCUCUGCAAAUUAUGUCGCCAGUCCUAGAUAUACAUAAAAGUUGCUUUGGCCUGAUUCAUCUGACUUGUGAUCUGUGUUUUCACCUGGCAUUGAAGAUAGAGCUGUGGGUAGUUCCCAGUAGCAGGAUGAUUCUAGUUCUAGAACAUUUUCAAAGGUAUAGAAGUUGUUCGUCAUGUAAUUCACUGCGAACAGGCAAGGAAGAAGAAUCAUCUAGACCUUCAAAGGCCACGCAGGGCUUCCAACUCUGGCUGUGAAUUAGAAUCACCUGAAGAAUCUAGAAAAAUAUUGAUGUCUGGGUCUCAUCCCACAGUAAUUAAAUUAUAACCUGGGAAUGGAGCGCAGGCAAGGGUGUUUUUAUUUUUUAUUUUAUUUUUUUGAGACAGGGUCUCGCUCUGUUAUCCAGGCUGGAGUGUAAG